RNAcentral lists this ribosomal RNA (253 nucleotides) under uncultured bacterium. RNAcentral's name for it is "partial 16S ribosomal RNA". It matches the Rfam family "Bacterial small subunit ribosomal RNA", at positions 524 to 776 of the family's 1533-position model. The record is from RNAcentral.
GCCGGGGGAUGCAAUCGUUAUCCGGAAUGACUGGGCGUAAAGCGUCUGCAGGUGGCGAUUCAAGUCAGCGGUGAAAGACCCGGGCUCAACCGGAGAAAGGCCGGUGAAACUGAAUGGCUAGAGUGUAGAUCAGGUAGAGGGAAUUCCCAGAGUAGCGGUGAAAUGCGUAGAGACAGGGAAGAACACCGGAGGCGAAAGCGUUCUGCUGGACCACAACUGACACUGAGAGACGAAAGCUAGGGGAGCGAAUGGG